RNAcentral lists this transfer RNA (45 nucleotides) under Sedum caeruleum. RNAcentral's name for it is "partial tRNA-His". The record is from RNAcentral. Lineage: Eukaryota; Viridiplantae; Streptophyta; Magnoliopsida; Saxifragales; Crassulaceae.
GGCGGAUGUAGCCAAGUGGAUUAAGGCAGUGRAUUUGUGAAUCCA